This 253-nucleotide ribosomal RNA is filed under the name uncultured bacterium. Its description in RNAcentral is "partial 16S ribosomal RNA". It matches the Rfam family "Bacterial small subunit ribosomal RNA", at positions 524 to 776 of the family's 1533-position model. The record is from RNAcentral.
UACGGAGGGGGCUAGCGUUGUUCGGAAUUACUGGGCGUAAAGCGCACGUAGGCGGAUUCGUAAGUCAGGGGUGAAAUCCCGGGGCUCAACCUCGGAACUGCCUUUGAUACUGCGGGUCUUGAGUCCGAUAGAGGUGGGUGGAAUUCCUAGUGUAGAGGUGAAAUUCGUAGAUAUUAGGAAGAACACCGGUGGCGAAGGCGGCCCACUGGAUCGGUACUGACGCUGAGGUGCGAAAGCGUGGGGAGUAAACAGG